RNAcentral lists this ribosomal RNA (483 nucleotides) under uncultured bacterium. RNAcentral's name for it is "partial 16S ribosomal RNA". It matches the Rfam family "Bacterial small subunit ribosomal RNA", at positions 28 to 523 of the family's 1533-position model. The record is from RNAcentral.
GACGAACGCUGGCGGCGUGCUUAACACAUGCAAGUCGAACGAUGAAGCUGGAGCUUGCUCCGGUGGAUCAGUGGCGAACGGGUGAGUAACACGUGAGCAAUCUGCCCUUGACUCUGGGAUAACUGCGGGAAACUGUAGCUAAUACCGGAUACGAGGCUCGAAGGCAUCUUCGGGUCUGGAAAGAAUUUCGGUCAAGGAUGAGCUCGCGGCCUAUCAGCUUGUUGGUGAGGUAAUGGCUCACCAAGGCGACGACGGGUAGCCGGCCUGAGAGGGUGACCGGCCACACUGGGACUGAGACACGGUCCAGACUCCUACGGGAGGCAGCAGUGGGGAAUAUUGCACAAUGGGCGAAAGCCUGAUGCAGCAACGCCGCGUGAGGGAUGAAGGCCUUCGGGUUGUAAACCUCUUUUAGCAGGGAAGAAGCGAAAGUGACGGUACCUGCAGAAAAAGCACCGGCUAACUACGUGCCAGCCGCCGCAGUAA